Molecule: long non-coding RNA, 406 nt
Filed under: Setaria viridis
Lineage: Eukaryota; Viridiplantae; Streptophyta; Magnoliopsida; Poales; Poaceae
Description: long non-coding RNA (SVIR_LNC009948)
Source: RNAcentral
UCGAGCGGCCGCCACCCAAUCUCCGUUGCUCGGCUGCGCUCCUCAUUGGACAUCGAAACCAAACGAACAGAAAUCCAAUCUUUUAUGCCCAAUCUUCCUGCUCAAUUCCUCAACUGCCAGCAAAAUCCUCCAAUUUCAGAAGACCGGCUCAAGUAAAGAUGCAAUCUUUUCUUCCAUUCCUGCACGGAUGUAGCUUCAGCCAAGGCGGCCGUGGUGCCCGAGGCCCAGCUCGUCGUCGCCGGCGAGGCACUCGCCCAGGACCCCCCGCGGCACCCAGCGGCAGCGGGUUCUGCGCGCGGGGAGGAGCGUGAACAGGAUGUGGGUGCCGCCGUCGGGCAGGGCGGCGGGUGCGCGGUGGUGUCCGACGAAAUGCUGAUGGCGAACUGGGGUGCACAGUACAGGCAGC